AGAGUUUGAUUCUGGCUCAGGAUGAACGCUAGCUACAGGCUUAACACAUGCAAGUCGGAGGGUAGCAGGGUAGCAAUACCGCUGACGACCGGCGCACGGGUAAGUAACACGUAUCCAACCUUCCCAUAACUCAGGGAUAGCCUUUCGAAAGAAAGAUUAAUACCUGAUAGUACUUUUUCAAGGCAUCUUGAGAAAGUUAAAGAUUUAUUGGUUAUGGAUGGGGAUGCGUUCCAUUAGAUAGUUGGUGAGGUAACGGCUCACCAAGUCUUCGAUGGAUAGGGGUUCUGAGAGGAAGGUCCCCCACAUUGGUACUGAGACACGGACCAAACUCCUACGGGAGGCAGCAGUGAGGAAUAUUGGUCAAUGGGCGAGAGCCUGAACCAGCCAAGUAGCGUGAAAGGAUGAAGGUCCUAUGGAUUGUAAACUUCUUUUAUAGUAGAAUAAAGUGAGCCACGUGUGGUUUUUUGUAUGUAUACUAUGAAUAAGGAUCGGCUAACUCCGUGCCAGCCGCGGC
Molecule: ribosomal RNA, 514 nt
Filed under: uncultured bacterium
Lineage: Bacteria
Description: bacterial SSU rRNA
Rfam family: Bacterial small subunit ribosomal RNA
Source: RNAcentral